UUCCCCGGUCCGGAAGGUCCGGGUAAUCUUGUUAUGCGUCGUGAUGGGGAUAGAUCUUUGGAAUUAUAUAUCCUUGAACGAGGAAUUCCUAUUAUGCGCACGUCUUUACAUUGCGCNGAUUAACUCCCUGCCCUUUGUACACACCGCA
Molecule: ribosomal RNA, 148 nt
Filed under: uncultured ciliate
Lineage: Eukaryota; Ciliophora
Description: partial 18S ribosomal RNA
Rfam family: Eukaryotic small subunit ribosomal RNA
Source: RNAcentral